GGCGAGAUGGCCGAGUGGUUAAGGCGCUGGUUUUAGGUUUGAUUCUUCAAAGCACACCAGUUCGAAAGAGCGUGGGUUCAAAUCCCACUCUCGUCA
Molecule: non-coding RNA, 96 nt
Organism: Pyronema omphalodes
Lineage: Eukaryota; Fungi; Ascomycota; Pezizomycetes; Pezizales; Pyronemataceae
Source: the annotation of a GenBank genome assembly